This 550-nucleotide ribosomal RNA is filed under the name Pseudomonas baetica. RNAcentral's name for it is "bacterial SSU rRNA". It matches the Rfam family "Bacterial small subunit ribosomal RNA", at positions 88 to 634 of the family's 1533-position model. The record is from RNAcentral. Lineage: Bacteria; Pseudomonadati; Pseudomonadota; Gammaproteobacteria; Pseudomonadales; Pseudomonadaceae.
GGAUUCAGCGGCGGACGGGUGAGUAAUGCCUAGGAAUCUGCCUGAUAGUGGGGGACAACGUUUCGAAAGGAACGCUAAUACCGCAUACGUCCUACGGGAGAAAGCAGGGGACCUUCGGGCCUUGCGCUAUCAGAUGAGCCUAGGUCGGAUUAGCUAGUUGGUGAGGUAAUGGCUCACCAAGGCGACGAUCCGUAACUGGUCUGAGAGGAUGAUCAGUCACACUGGAACUGAGACACGGUCCAGACUCCUACGGGAGGCAGCAGUGGGGAAUAUUGGACAAUGGGCGAAAGCCUGAUCCAGCCAUGCCGCGUGUGUGAAGAAGGUCUUCGGAUUGUAAAGCACUUUAAGUUGGGAGGAAGGGCAGUAAAUUAAUACUUUGCUGUUUUGACGUUACCGACAGAAUAAGCACCGGCUAACUCUGUGCCAGCAGCCGCGGUAAUACAGAGGGUGCAAGCGUUAAUCGGAAUUACUGGGCGUAAAGCGCGCGUAGGUGGUUUGUUAAGUUGGAUGUGAAAUCCCCGGGCUCAACCUGGGAACUGCAUCCAAAACU